Passer domesticus (house sparrow) is the source of this 2459-nucleotide long non-coding RNA. RefSeq lists it as uncharacterized. Lineage: Eukaryota; Metazoa; Chordata; Aves; Passeriformes; Passeridae. The transcript is spliced from 2 exons. The record is from RefSeq and is a predicted model, not a curated record.
GCAGCAAUGGCCUCUUGGUUCCACAAUGCCCUGCUGCUUCACACUGGCCCCUUGGGACCGUGUGGCCCAGCAGUGCCACAGUGAUGUCCUUGGUGCCACGAGGCCAUACAGUGUCACAGUGAUUCCUUGGAUCCAUGCUACCCCAAAGUGUCACAACGGCCCCUUGGUUCCAUGAAGAUCCAGAAGUGUCACAAUGGUCUCCAUGGUUCCACGUGGUCCUCACAGUGUCACAGUGGUCUCCAUAGGCAGGAAACAACCAAGCCCCAGUGUUGCAGGGGCCGAUGAGGGGCAGUCACCAGAGGCAAAGGGCAGCCAGAUUAGAUGGUACUGGCAGAUUUUGUCUGGGAGCAAUCUUGGAUAUACAGAAUUUUAGAGGCAGAAUAACAAUUUUGGACAUGGAUGACAGAAGCAGAAACACAGAUCUUUUCCAUAGGCAGGAAAGCAAGAGUUCCAAGGGCAGUUGAAAAGCAACUAUCAGAGGGCAAGGAAGGAAAGCACAGAGGCCAAGUGUUUCAAAGGCAGAUGAGAGGUGGCUCGCAGGAGCUCAAGCAAGACAGACUUGUUUAUCCUGGCAGCUGCUUUUACAGAGGGAUCCUUGGAUAUAUUUUGGGAGGAGGAAUCUCACUUUUGACCACAGACAUGUUGACAAGCAUGACGGUUCCUUUCCAUUGGAAGGAAAGCACUGUGCCCCGGUGUUUCAAAGACAGGUGAGAGGCAGCCCCUAAGAGGCCAAGGGCUCCCAGACCUGUCUGUCCUGGCAGCUUGAACUUGGGAGCAAUCCUUGGAUGAAUAGAAUCCCAGUUUCAGCCAUGGGCUCCUGGUGGAAAUAGAUGGUUUUUCCAUAAGAAAUAAAAGUGCGAAAUCCAAGUGGUUUGGAAGAAGAUGAGAGGGGGCCAAACCUGCAGCUGUGGAUGUCCAAAAGCCCCUUUUCAGGGCAGCCUCGUUGAGCCCGAUGGCACCCGAGCUGCAGUGGUGAGGGUACACUCUCCACUCUGGUGUGACAGAGAGUGCACACUUUCUAGGACCCUUGGUAGCUACAGCAGAAGCGAGGAAAAAGGCGGACACUGUCUUCUGGGAUAACCGGGUUUAUUGAGGAUCAGGGAGAUGGAAGGUCGAGGGGAACCAGAAGGCAGAGACACAGUUAACAGGGUGACAGCAACUUAUAAAGCAAGGUGGGUACAAAGGUGGAGCCAGGUCUCUAACCAAUAGAGGACCAGGGGGUAGUGCAUAAAGGGAUACAGCCAACCUAACUGAACCCAUCCCAGGUGUCCUGGGGAGGGGCCCCGGCCCCUGAACCAAUCACUCGACGCCCUAGAGAGAAGCUUCUCAAUGAAAGGGUCAGGUCGCAGAGUGAUGGGCAGGGCACUGAGGAGGGAUAGAACAAAAGGAUACAAUGCAACCGGGGAGGAGAUAGGGAAACUGACAGGGGUUCAAGGGACGAGGCAACGGGGCAGAGCCACUCUUAACAUAAGGGGAGAAUGGAAUAUACCAACUUACAAAGUGCAACUUAUUCAACUGCAACUGAUUGAGGACACAACCCAACAGGCCACCAUAGGCAAAGCCAGCCAGACCUGUCUUUCCUGGCACCUUUCAUCUGGGAGAAAUCCUUGGAUAUAGGGAAUUUUGGAGGUGGAAUAUCAGUUUUGGCCACAGGCACCUGGACCGGAAGAAGAGUUCUUUUUAUUAGGCAGGAAAGCACAUGGUCCUGGUGUUUCAAAGGCAGAUGUGAGGUUGCCCCUGGGUGGCCAAGCCAGCCAGAUCUGUCUGUCCUGCCAGAUUUCAUCUGGGAACAAUUCUUGGAUAAACAAACAUUUGGAGGAGGAAACCCAGUUUUGGCCAUGGGCACCUGGAGGAGAAGGACAGCUCUUUCCCGCAGGAAGGAAAGCACAGAGCCCCGCUGCUCCAGGGGCAGAUGAGCAGCAGCCCUUGGCAUGCCAAGGUCAGCUGGACCUAUCAGGUGGUUCCCAGGAGGCCAAACCAGCCAGACCUGUGCCAUGUCCCCUUGGUUCCAUGGGGCCCCGUGUUUCACAAUGGUCUCCUUGAGUCCAUGAGGCACCUCAGUGUCACCAUGGCCUCUUGGUUCCAGGAGGUUCUGUGCUGUCAGCAAUGUCUCCUUGUUUCUGCAGUGUCACAAUGGCUGCAUGAAGGGCUUAGGGUUUAAAAAACAGAGCACGAGCUCAGCCCAUGGUCUGGACCCUCCUUCUCCUGGGGUUUGUGUCUCACCCACACUGGAACCCAAGCAGUUGGUAGCUGAAUAUGUGUCUUUCAGUAGAUCUUCUGUCUUUCGGUCAUUCCGUGUUUCUUCUUCUGCUUAUCCUCUUUACCUGGAACAUUUUUGGAUAAUUUAACAUCUUUAUGGUUAUUUGGUUUCCAGGUUAAAUGGAGUUAAUGGAGUUACUGCUAUAAGUGUUUCAUGUUGAAUUGGAUGUUGUAUUAAACCCUUUACCAAAGUUGCUUGA